GCCCAUCUCACUUCCGGCCGCUGCUCCGUGCAUGCGCAUUGCCAACUGCCGCCGCUCAUGCGCAGAGCGCCGGGUGCUGGCGGCGGCCCGGGUAGCCUCGGUGCCGGUGGCGCCGCCAUGGGCUGAGGGGUCCGGUGCGAGGGUUGUCAGCGGCUGUCGGGCGGGCUGCCCCGAGGAUGGAGAGAGCCAUGGAGCAGCUCAACCGUCUCACCAGGUCCCUGCGCCGCGCCCGCACCGUGGAGCUGCCAGACGAUAAUGAAACUGCUGUUUAUACGCUAAUGCCAAUGGUGAUGGCUGACCAGCAUCGGUCUGUCUCAGAGCUGCUAUCAAAUUCAAAAUUUGAUGUGAAUUAUGCGUUUGGACGUGUGAAGAGAAGUUUGCUUCAUAUUGCAGCAAACUGCGGAUCGGUUGAAUGCCUUGUUCUGUUAUUAAAAAAAGGAGCAAAUCCAAACUAUCAGGACAUCUCAGGAUGUACACCUCUCCAUUUAGCAGCAAGGAAUGGCCAGAAAAAAUGCAUGAGCAAGCUGCUGGAAUACAGUGCAGAUGUCAACAUUUGUAAUAAUGAAGGCUUGACUGCAAUUCAUUGGUUGGCCGUCAAUGGACGAACAGAAUUGCUUCAUGAUCUUGUGCAGCAUGUCAGUAAUGUGGAUGUUGAAGAUGCAAUGGGACAGACAGCCCUUCAUGUGGCUUGUCAAAAUGGACACAAGACAACAGUACAGUGUCUGCUGGACAGUGGUGCAGAUAUCAACAGGCCCAAUGUGUCAGGAGCAACUCCACUCUAUUUUGCUUGCAGCCAUGGUCAGAGAGACACAGCACAAAUUCUUUUGAUGAGAGGAGCCAAAUAUUUACCGGACAAAAACGGCAUUACUCCACUAGAUCUCUGUGUACAGGGUGGAUAUGGAGAGACUUGUGAAGUCUUAAUACAGUACCAUCCUCGACUUUUCCAGACAAUAAUUCAAAUGACUCAGAAUGAAGAUCUACGGGAAAACAUGUUGCGGCAAGUUCUGGAACACUUGUCUCAGCAGAGUGAAAGCCAGUAUCUUAAAAUCCUGACAAGUCUUGCUGAAGUUGCUACAACUAAUGGUCACAAACUACUUAGCUUGUCAAGUAAUUAUGAAGCUCAAAUGAAGAGUCUCUUAAGGAUCGUGAGGAUAUUUUGCCAUGUCUUUCGCAUUGGCCCAUCCUCUCCCAGUAAUGGAAAUGACAUGGGCUACAAUGGAAAUAAAACUCCAAGAAGUCAGGUGUUCAAGGUCAGAAAAGUAUAUGAUGUUGUUAGGAAGAUAGACGUUAAAGAGAUGAAUUUCACAAAGCAUGCAUUCAUUAAUCAGACAUCUCAUGAACAGGAACCUCUAGAACUGCUCUGGCACUCUUUAGACGAAUGGCUAGUUCUCAUAGCCACAGAGCUGAUGAAAAACAAAAGGGACUCUGCCAACAUUACUUCUAUUUUGCUGAAGCAAAAAGGACCAGAUCACCAGGAUGCUACUCCUACGCCUUCCUUUGCUGCUGCAGGAACGGAGAGCAGAAAAGAGCUAUCCACUGACACAGGGGACUCGAAAACAUAUGAAGUUGCAGGGAAGCAGGAAGCUUAUGCUGAUUGCCAGGAUGUUAUCUCCAUGACAGCAAACAGGCUAAGUGCUGUCAUUCAAGCAUUUUAUAUGUGCUGCUCCUGUCAGAUGCCUCAGGGGAUGACAUCACCUCGUUUUAUAGAAUUUGUUUGUAAACAUGAUGAUGUCCUUAAGUGUUUUGUUAACCGGAACCCCAAAAUCAUUUUUGAUCACUUUCAUUUCCUUCUUGAGUGUCCUGAACUAAUGUCCAGAUUUAUGCACAUCAUAAAGGCUCAGCCAUUUAAAGAUCGUUGUGAAUGGUUCUAUGAACAUCUGCAUUCAGGGCAACCAGAUUCAGACAUGGUGCACAGGCCUGUCAAUGAAAAUGACAUCCUUCUAGUUCACAGAGAUUCUAUUUUUAGGAGUAGCUGUGAAGUUGUCUCUAAAGCGAAUUGUGCGAAACUAAAGCAAGGGAUUGCUGUGCGAUUUCACGGAGAAGAAGGCAUGGGACAGGGUGUGGUGCGUGAGUGGUUUGAUAUCUUGUCCAGUGAAAUAGUUAACCCAGAUUAUGCCUUAUUUACCCAGUCAGCUGAUGGAACAACCUUCCAGCCAAACAGCAACUCUUCUGUAAAUCCAGAUCAUUUGAACUACUUCCGCUUUGCAGGCCAGAUCCUGGGACUAGCUCUCAAUCACAGGCAGCUGGUGAACAUUUACUUCACAAGAUCAUUCUACAAACAUAUUCUUGGUAUACCUGUAAAUUAUCAGGAUGUAGCGUCUAUUGAUCCAGAGUAUGCAAAGAACUUGCAGUGGAUUUUAGAUAAUGAUAUCAGUGAUCUGGGUUUAGAGCUGACCUUUUCAGUUGAGACUGAUGUAUUUGGAGCUAUGGAAGAAGUGCCAUUAAAGCCUGGGGGUGCGAGUAUACUUGUUACCCAGGAAAACAAGGCUGAGUAUGUCCAGCUUGUCACUGAACUUAGAAUGACAAGAGCCAUUCAACCUCAGAUAAAUGCCUUUUUACAAGGCUUCCAUAUGUUCAUUCCACCGUCUUUGAUUCAACUUUUUGAUGAAUAUGAACUGGAGCUUUUGUUGUCUGGUAUGCCGGAAAUUGAUGUGAAUGAUUGGUUAAAAAAUACAGAAUAUACCAGUGGCUAUGAGAGAGGAGACCAAGUAAUCCAGUGGUUCUGGGAUGUUGUGGAAGAACUAACUCAGGAAGAGAGAGUACUACUAUUACAGUUUGUUACUGGCAGUUACAGAAUCAUAGAAUAGAUGAAGUUGGAAGGGACCUCUGGUGAUUUUCAUCCAACUCCAUGCUCAAAGCAGGGUCAGUUAGAGCUGGAUGCUCAUGGUCUUGUCUGGUCUCCAAGGACGCUGCAACUUCUCUGGGCAACUUGUUCCAAUGUUUGACCACCCUCAGAGUCAGAGAGAAAAACAACACAAAACUACCCCUCAGGUCUAAAUGCAAUUUCCUGAGCUCUACUAUAUGUAUUCCCCCCUUCAGACAUUUAAACACAUUGAUCAGAUUUCUCUGAGUCUCCUUGCCAAACAGCCCCAGCUCUCUCUCCUCAUGUGGCAGGUGCUCCAGUCUCUUUGUGUCACUUUGCUCAUCUUGCUGCAGCAUGUCUUUGUCUCUCUUCUACUGGAGAGCACUUCCAAGUGUUACCCACCAGGGCUGAACAUGGGCAGGAUCACCUCUUGGCACUGUUCUCGAUGCAACCAAAGAGCCUGCUGUCCUUUGAUGCGAGAAUAUGUUGCUGGCUCACGUUCAACUUCAUUAGUUCUUAUUCUUUUGGUGCAGUUUCUAGACUUUUAAAACACAUUUGUAAUGAGGACUGUAAUAACAACAGGUUUUACAUUGUAAUGCAUACCAACUUAAGCUGAUACAAAUAUCUGAAUUUUACUGUGUCUCUGUUAGUUUAAAAUCUGGCAAGGAUGCUGAAGACUUCAAGUCUGUUAUCCAUUUACGCUUUAAUUAAUCCUGAGAAAUACAUUGAAAAUGAAAAAAAAUGAAUAAAAUCAUUAAGUGAGAAUGCAUUCCUGAAGAUGUUAGUGAUUUUUUUUGUGUGUGUGUGUAUUGUUUUGCCGUAGAUCAUCACCAGGUGAGAGUGUAUGCGACGGGAAGGUUUUAUUAGUUGACACCUGAAAUAUUAAAUCUGAAGUACUAAAUUAAAAGACAUAUCGAAACACUUGGGUCAGUUGAUCCACAGGCAGUAAAUGGAGAAUAAACCUUUUUGUAAUGCAGAACUUUAUUUAAUCUGUAAAUGUAAAGAAAUAUAAUAAGGUGUGAUAAAUGUAAUAAUGUAAUAAACUGAGGUAAUGGUCUAUUAUGAAAACUGGUUGAAGAAAUGCGCCUGCUUUGCAAACAGAAUUCUCCUGAAUAUUAUUCAAAUAAUUUGAUGUAUAAUACAAAAAAUUGUAAAUGCAAAUGAGUAUGUAAUUAAAAGUACUUAGACAAUGGGAACUUUGAUACUGGUGUGAGAAAGGGAGAACCUUGAUGAAAGUAUUAGUAAGUUAAGAGAUAUUUGCAGUGUUAGUAAUGUGUUUUUGGCUUAACUCUUCUUAUGAUGAUCUAAUUUCUGUGAGUAUUCUCAGUUCCAGAGUGCCUCAUGGUGGCUUUGCCCAUAUAAUGGGUGGGAGUGGACUGCAAAAUUUCACAAUUGCUGCUGUGCCAUAUACUGCGAACCUUUUACCAACUUCUAGCACAUGUAUCAACAUGCUCAAGUUACCUGAAUACCCAAGUA
Molecule: RNA transcript, 4279 nt
Organism: Numida meleagris (helmeted guineafowl)
Lineage: Eukaryota; Metazoa; Chordata; Aves; Galliformes; Numididae
Gene: HACE1
Gene name: HECT domain and ankyrin repeat containing E3 ubiquitin protein ligase 1
Exons: 24
Source: RefSeq, a predicted model, not a curated record